Molecule: ribosomal RNA, 465 nt
Filed under: uncultured bacterium
Lineage: Bacteria
Description: partial 16S ribosomal RNA
Rfam family: Bacterial small subunit ribosomal RNA
Source: RNAcentral
CCUACGGGAGGCAGCAGUGGGGAAUAUUGCGCAAUGGGCGAAAGCCUGACGCAGCGACGCCGCGUGAGGGAUGAAGGUCUUCGGAUCGUAAACCUCUGUCAGCAGGGAAGAACGGUCACUGUGCUAAUCAGCAGUGAAUUGACGGUACCUGCAAAGGAAGCACCGGCUAACUCCGUGCCAGCAGCCGCGGUAAUACGGAGGGUGCGAGCGUUAAUCGGAAUUACUGGGCGUAAAGCGCUCGUAGGCGGUAUGUCAAGUCAAGGGUGAAAUCCCCGCGCUCAACGUGGGAACUGCCUUUGAAACUGGCAAACUGGGGCGUGUGAGAGGAUAGUGGAAUUCCAGGGGUAGGAGUGAAAUCCGUAGAUAUCUGGAGGAACAUCAGUGGCGAAGGCGACUAUCUGGCACAUAACUGACGCUGAGGAGCGAAAGCGUGGGUAGCAAACAGGAUUAGAUACCCUAGUAGUC